UACGUAGGGGGCGAGCGUUGUCCGGAAUUAUUGGGCGUAAAGAGCUCGUAGGCGGUGUGUCGCGUCGGCCGUGAAAACUUGCAGCUUAACUGUGGGCGUGCGGUCGAUACGGGCAUCACUGGAGUUCGGCAGGGGAGACUGGAAUUCCUGGUGUAGCGGUGAAAUGCGCAGAUAUCAGGAGGAACACCGGUGGCGAAGGCGGGUCUCUGGACAGUUCCUGACGCUGAGGCACGAAGGUCAGGGGAGCAAACGGG
RNAcentral lists this ribosomal RNA (254 nucleotides) under uncultured bacterium. Its description in RNAcentral is "partial 16S ribosomal RNA". It matches the Rfam family "Bacterial small subunit ribosomal RNA", at positions 524 to 776 of the family's 1533-position model. The record is from RNAcentral.